CUUGCUUCUCUUGAGAGCGGCGGACGGGUGAGUAAUGCCUAGGAAUCUGCCUGGUAGUGGGGGAUAACGUUCGGAAACGGACGCUAAUACCGCAUACGUCCUACGGGAGAAAGCAGGGGACCUUCGGGCCUUGCGCUAUCAGAUGAGCCUAGGUCGGAUUAGCUAGUUGGUGGGGUAAUGGCUCACCAAGGCGACGAUCCGUAACUGGUCUGAGAGGGUGAUCAGUCACACUGGAACUGAGACACGGUCCAGACUCCUACGGGAGGCAGCAGUGGGGAAUAUUGGACAAUGGGCGAAAGCCUGAUCCAGCCAUGCCGCGUGUGUGAAGAAGGUCUUCGGAUUGUAAAGCACUUUAAGUUGGGAGGAAGGGUUGUAGAUUAAUACUCUGCAAUUUUGACGUUACCGACAGAAUAAGCACCGGCUAACUCUGUGCCAGCAGCCGCGGUAAUACAGAGGGUGCAAGCGUUAAUCGGAAUUACUG
This 481-nucleotide ribosomal RNA is filed under the name uncultured bacterium. Its description in RNAcentral is "bacterial SSU rRNA". It matches the Rfam family "Bacterial small subunit ribosomal RNA", at positions 79 to 556 of the family's 1533-position model. The record is from RNAcentral.